GGUAUAGACCCGAAACCCGGUGAUCUAGCCAUGGGCAGGUUGAAGGUUGGGUAACACUAACUGGAGGACCGAACCGACUAAUGUUGAAAAAUUAGCGGAUGACUUGUGGCUGGGGGUGAAAGGCCAAUCAAACCGGGAGAUAGCUGGUUCUCCCCGAAAGCUAUUUAGGUAGCGCCUCGUGAAUUCAUCUCCGGGGGUAGAGCACUGUUUCGGCAAGGGGGUCAUCCCGACUUACCAACCCGAUGCAAACUGCGAAUACCGGAGAAUGUUAUCACGGGAGACACACGGCGGGUGCUAACGUCCGUCGUGAAGAGGGAAACAACCCAGACCGCCAGCUAAGGUCCCAAAGUCAUGGUUAAGUGGGAAACGAUGUGGGAAGGCCCAGACAGCCAGGAUGUUGGCUUAGAAGCAGCCAUCAUUUAAAGAAAGCGUAAUAGCUCACUGGUCGAGUCGGCCUGCGCGGAAGAUGUAACGGGGCUAAACCAUGCACCGAAGCUGCGGCAGCGACGCUUAUGCGUUGUUGGGUAGGGGAGCGUUCUGUAAGCCUGUGAAGGUGUGCUGUGAGGCAUGCUGGAGGUAUCAGAAGUGCGAAUGCUGACAUAAGUAACGAUAAAGCGGGUGAAAAGCCCGCUCGCCGGAAGACCAAGGGUUCCUGUCCAACGUUAAUCGGGGCAGGGUGAGUCGACCCCUAAGGCGAGGCCGAAAGGCGUAGUCGAUGGGAAACAGGUUAAUAUUCCUGUACUUGGUGUUACUGCGAAGGGGGGACGGAGAAGGCUAUGUUGGCCGGGCGACGGUUGUCCCGGUUUAAGCGUGUAGGCUGGUUUUCCAGGCAAAUCCGGAAAAUCAAGGCUGAGGCGUGAUGACGAGGCACUACGGUGCUGAAGCAACAAAUGCCCUGCUUCCAGGAAAAGCCUCUAAGCAUCAGGUAACAUCAAAUCGUACCCCAAACCGACACAGGUGGUCAGGUAGAGAAUACCAAGGCGCUUGAGAGAACUCGGGUGAAGGAACUAGGCAAAAUGGUGCCGUAACUUCGGGAGAAGGCACGCUGAUAUGUAGGUGAAGUCCCUUGCGGAUGGAGCUGAAAUCAGUCGAAGAUACCAGCUGGCUGCAACUGUUUAUUAAAAACACAGCACUGUGCAAACACGAAAGUGGACGUAUACGGUGUGACGCCUGCCCGGUGCCGGAAGGUUAAUUGAUGGGGUCAGCGCAAGCGAAGCUCUUGAUCGAAGCCCCGGUAAACGGCGGCCGUAACUAUAACGGUCCUAAGGUAGCGAAAUUCCUUGUCGGGUAAGUUCCGACCUGCACGAAUGGCGUAAUGAUGGCCAGGCUGUCUCCACCCGAGACUCAGUGAAAUUGAACUCGCUGUGAAGAUGCAGUGUACCCGCGGCAAGACGGAAAGACCCCGUGAACCUUUACUAUAGCUUGACACUGAACAUUGAGCCUUGAUGUGUAGGAUAGGUGGGAGGCUUUGAAGUGUGGACGCCAGUCUGCAUGGAGCCGACCUUGAAAUACCACCCUUUAAUGUUUGAUGUUCUAACGUUGACCCGUAAUCCGGGUUGCGGACAGUGUCUGGUGGGUAGUUUGACUGGGGCGGUCUCCUCCUAAAGAGUAACGGAGGAGCACGAAGGUUGGCUAAUCCUGGUCGGACAUCAGGAGGUUAGUGCAAUGGCAUAAGCCAGCUUGACUGCGAGCGUGACGGCGCGAGCAGGUGCGAAAGCAGGUCAUAGUGAUCCGGUGGUUCUGAAUGGAAGGGCCAUCGCUCAACGGAUAAAAGGUACUCCGGGGAUAACAGGCUGAUACCGCCCAAGAGUUCAUAUCGACGGCGGUGUUUGGCACCUCGAUGUCGGCUCAUCACAUCCUGGGGCUGAAGUAGGUCCCAAGGGUAUGGCUGUUCGCCAUUUAAAGUGGUACGCGAGCUGGGUUUAGAACGUCGUGAGACAGUUCGGUCCCUAUCUGCCGUGGGCG
RNAcentral lists this ribosomal RNA (1965 nucleotides) under human gut metagenome. Its description in RNAcentral is "bacterial LSU rRNA". It matches the Rfam family "Bacterial large subunit ribosomal RNA", at positions 706 to 2653 of the family's 2925-position model. The record is from RNAcentral.